CCACAGCAGGCCAGCUUAUUCUUAGACCUGACAGUGCCCUGUGGAGGUGCCCCUGACACCCUCCAAGACACACAACGAGCUCUGGCUAGCAGCCCAUGAGCAGAAGUGACCUGCCGCAGAUCUGUGUGGCUGUAAGAGCCACGACAUGACCUCUGUCUCCUGCCCUCACCUGCCUGUCUGGAGAUUGGCGCGUUCCAGAUGGCCACGGCUGACUCAGCCUGGGUCCCAGAAUGAGGGUGGCGUGAAGAGCACAGCCACACUGUGCCAACAGGACACAUAAGCAGGGGUCAAACACAGCUGAUCGGCUGGGGCUUGGGGCUCAUUUGUACCUGCAGCAAACCCAGCAAAGCUGACCAGCAAGCUGUGGAUGGACGGAGUCUAUAAACAGACGGUAGGAGCUGUCCUCUGAGGAUGUCUGCCCUACUCAGAUAAAGGCAAAUGCAUCUGUAUGUUUACCUCCAGUUUUGUGCCACAUAAGAAUGGAGUUCAGGACAUGGCCCUCCAGCAUACACAGAAGACUGUUCUGACCCCCUUUCUGUUUCUUAAAAGCAGAAAAUGAGACUAGGGCUGUGGCUCAGUGGCAGAGCACUUGCUUUGCAUGCACCAGUCCCGACUCCCAAGCGCCAGGUCCUGGCGCUCACCUAAAAAGGAAAACAACAAGAAACCAAACAGAUGGAGAGUUUACCACGUGAAGUUCCUCCCUCCCCGGCCCACUGGAAGUAAAAGCAACAUCCUUAUCUUCAUUCAACGAGAAGCUGCAGCCAUCGCAAGAAUUCUGCACUGGCUUUGUUAAAACAACUACUUUCUGGCCUGUAAUCCCAGCUCAGGAGGCUGAGGCAAGAGGAUCGCAAGUUCGUGCCAGCCUCAUUCAGCAAUUUAUCGAGGCCCUAAGAAACUUAGCCAGACCCUGUCUCAAAAACAAGCAAACCCUCUGACCUUCUCCCUACCCUCAAUUUAGUUAACCUCUUCCCAACUUCCUAUUCUUUGUCCAGCGGAGUGAAGAAGACCGGCUUCUAACUGCUUCUUUGUGUUCUUUAUUUCCUUGGGAGGAUUCCUGUGCCCAGGCUCCAAGUCCAC
Molecule: long non-coding RNA, 1077 nt
Filed under: Marmota monax (woodchuck)
Lineage: Eukaryota; Metazoa; Chordata; Mammalia; Rodentia; Sciuridae
Source: RNAcentral